This 462-nucleotide ribosomal RNA is filed under the name uncultured bacterium. RNAcentral's name for it is "bacterial SSU rRNA". It matches the Rfam family "Bacterial small subunit ribosomal RNA", at positions 355 to 825 of the family's 1533-position model. The record is from RNAcentral.
UAAGGAAUAUUGCGCAAUGGACGAAAGUCUGACGCAGCGACGCCGCGUGGGGGAUGAAGGUCUUCGGAUUGUAAACCCCUUUCGGGAGGGAAGAUGGAGUGGGUAACCACUUGGACGGUACCUCCAGAAGCAGCCACGGCUAACUCCGUGCCAGCAGCCGCGGUAAGACGGAGGGCGCAAGCGUUGUUCGGAAUUACUGGGCGUAAAGCGCGGGCAGGCGGUCUGUUAAGUCGUUUGUGAAAAUCCGGGGCUCAACCCCGGAAAUGCAUACGAUACUGGCAGGCUGGAGACUGGUAGAGGCUAGCGGAAUUCCUGGUGUAGCGGUGGAAUGCGUAGAUAUCAGGAAGAACACCUGUGGCGAAGGCGGCUAGCUGGGCCAGUUCUGACGCUGAUCCGCGAAAGCGUGGGGAGCAAACAGGAUUAGAUACCCAAGUAGUCCCUGAGCGGGCUGGCAAGGCGCAU